UGGAAUUAAGCAUAUAAUUAAGCGGAGGAAAAGAAACUAACUAGGAUUCCCUCAGUAACGGCGAGUGAAGCGGGACUAGCUCAGGAUGUGAAUCUGCGCUUUUUGGCGCCGAAUUGUGGUCUAUAGACUUUGACGUUAUCUGCCGGGCCAAGUUCCUUGGAAAAGGACAGCUGAGAGGGUGAGACUCCCGUCCGCCUGGUAGAAUGAGUCUUUGUCAACGAGUCGAGUUGUUUGGGAUUGCAGCUCUAAUUUGGUGGUAAAUUCCAUCUAAAGCUAAAUAUUGGUGGGAGACCGAUAGCGUACAAGUACCGUGAGGGAAAGAUGCAAAGAACUUUGAAAAGAGAGUUAAAGAGUACCUGAAAUUGCUGAAACGGAAGCGAAGGAAACCAGUGUUUGUUGGUUCAUAUUUCCCUUGCCACUUGUGGUGUGGGCGCUGUGAGCUUGCGUGGGUUUGCUUUGGUUGAUCCCUUUGGAAGAGCGCAGUCAGAGUUGAUGUCUGUUGCUAGCACUGGUUUUGACUAAAGCAGACGAAAUGGUUUUCUUUACCCCGUCUUGAAACACGGACCAAGGAGUCUAACAUAUGUGCGAGUACAGGGGUGUCAAACCCCGGUGCGCAAUGAAAGUGACAGUGGUAGGAAUUUUGCACUAUCCGCCGGCCUCAAUCCUUCGGGAGAACGGUCUGAGUGUGAGCAUACAUGUUGGGACCCGAAAGAUGGUGAACUAUGCCUGAAUAGGGUGAAGCCAGGGGAAACUCUGGUGGAGGCUCGUAGCGAUUCUGACGUGAAA
Molecule: ribosomal RNA, 786 nt
Filed under: Pseudo-nitzschia decipiens
Lineage: Eukaryota; Bacillariophyta; Bacillariophyceae; Bacillariales; Bacillariaceae
Description: LSU rRNA
Rfam family: Eukaryotic large subunit ribosomal RNA
Source: RNAcentral